UACGGGGGGGGCAAGCGUUGUUCGGAAUUACUGGGCGUAAAGGGCUCGUAGGUGGCCAACUAAGUCAGACGUGAAAUCCCUCGGCUUAACCGGGGAACUGCGGCUGAUACUGGAUGGCUUGAGAUUGGGAGAGGGAUGCGGAAUUCCAGGUGUAGCGGUGAAAUGCGUAGAUAUCUGGAGGAACACCGGUGGCGAGGGCGGCAUCCUGGACCAACACUGACGCUGAGGAGCGAAAGCCAGGGGAGCAAACGGG
This 253-nucleotide ribosomal RNA is filed under the name uncultured bacterium. RNAcentral describes it as "partial 16S ribosomal RNA". It matches the Rfam family "Bacterial small subunit ribosomal RNA", at positions 524 to 776 of the family's 1533-position model. The record is from RNAcentral.